CCUACGGGUGGCAGCAGUGGGGAAUAUUGCACAAUGGAGGGAACUCUGAUGCAGCAACGCCGCGUGAGUGAAGACGUCAUUCGUGAUGUAAAGCUCUAUCUGCAGGGACGAUAAUGACGGUACCUGAAGAAGAAGCCCCGGCUAAAUACGUGCCAGCAGCCGCGGUAAUACGUAUGGGGCAAGCGUUAUCCGGAUUUACUGGGUGUAAAGGGAGAGUAGGUGGGAGUGUAAGUCCGAAGUGAAAACCCAGAGUCCAACUAUUGGAAUGCUUUAGAAACUGGACCGCUAGAGUGCAGGAGAGGCAAGUGGAAUUCUUAGUGUAGCGGUGAAAUGCGUAGAUAUUAGGAGGAACACCAGUGGCGAAGGCGGCUUACUAAACUGCCACUGACAUUGAUGCUCGAAAGUGUGGGUAUCAAACAGGAUUAGAUACCCGGGUAGUC
RNAcentral lists this ribosomal RNA (440 nucleotides) under uncultured bacterium. RNAcentral's name for it is "partial 16S ribosomal RNA". It matches the Rfam family "Bacterial small subunit ribosomal RNA", at positions 338 to 795 of the family's 1533-position model. The record is from RNAcentral.